GCCCCCAUAGCUCAGUGGAAGAGCACAAGGCCGCGGACCUUGGUUUGCGUGGGUUCGAUUCCUGCUGGGGGUACCA
This 76-nucleotide transfer RNA is filed under the name Candidatus Altimarinota bacterium. Its description in RNAcentral is "Candidatus Gracilibacteria bacterium tRNA-Arg". It matches the Rfam family "tRNA". From Rfam's summary of the family: Transfer RNA (tRNA) molecules are approximately 80 nucleotides in length. Their secondary structure includes four short double-helical elements and three loops (D, anti-codon, and T loops). Lineage: Bacteria; Candidatus Altimarinota. The record is from RNAcentral.